UGGCCCAUGAAAUCAAGCAUGGGUGAGACCUGGUGCAGAACAGGAAGGCGACCCAUACUUGGUUUCAGAGGCUG
Molecule: microRNA precursor, 74 nt
Filed under: Pteropus alecto (black flying fox)
Lineage: Eukaryota; Metazoa; Chordata; Mammalia; Chiroptera; Pteropodidae
Also listed under: 3 other names
Description: mir-551 microRNA precursor family
Rfam family: mir-551 microRNA precursor family
Source: Rfam by way of RNAcentral